UACGUAGGUGGCAAGCGUUAUCCGGAAUUAUUGGGCGUAAAGAGCGCGCAGGUGGUUGAUUAAGUCUGAUGUGAAAGCCCACGGCUUAACCGUGGAGGGUCAUUGGAAACUGGUUGACUUGAGUGCAGAAGAGGGAAGCGGAAUUCCAUGUGUAGCGGUGAAAUGCGUAGAGAUAUGGAGGAACACCAGUUGCGAAGGCGGCUUCCUGGUCUGUAACUGACACUGAGGCGCGAAAGCGUGGGGAGCAAACAGGAUUAGAUACCCG
This 265-nucleotide ribosomal RNA is filed under the name uncultured prokaryote. Its description in RNAcentral is "partial 16S ribosomal RNA". It matches the Rfam family "Bacterial small subunit ribosomal RNA", at positions 524 to 788 of the family's 1533-position model. The record is from RNAcentral.